UGGGGAAUCUUGGACAAUGGGCGCAAGCCUGACGACGCAACGCCGCGUGGAGGAUGAAGGUCUUCGGAUCGUAAACUUCUGUUGCCCGGGACGAAUAGCUUAGACCUAAUACGUCUGAGUAUGACGGUACCGGGUGAGGAAGCCCCGGCUAACUCUGUGCCAGCAGCCGCGGUAAUACAGAGGGGGCUAGCGUUGCUCGGAAUCACUGGGCGUAAAGGGUGCGUAGGCGGGUCUUUAAGUCAGGGGUGAAAUCCUGGAGCUCAACUCCAGAACUGCCUUUGAUACUGAAGAUCUUGAGUUCGGGAGAGGUGAGUGGAACUGCGAGUGUAGAGGUGAAAUUCGUAGAUAUUCGCAAGAACACCAGUGGCGAAGGCGGCUCACUGGCCCGAUACUGACGCUGAGGCACGAAAGCGUGGGGAGCAAACAGGAUUAGAUACCCGAGUAGUCCCUGAGCGGGCUGGCAAGGCGCAU
RNAcentral lists this ribosomal RNA (471 nucleotides) under uncultured bacterium. RNAcentral describes it as "bacterial SSU rRNA". It matches the Rfam family "Bacterial small subunit ribosomal RNA", at positions 355 to 825 of the family's 1533-position model. The record is from RNAcentral.